Molecule: small RNA, 756 nt
Filed under: Pongo abelii (Sumatran orangutan)
Lineage: Eukaryota; Metazoa; Chordata; Mammalia; Primates; Hominidae
Description: retained intron
Source: RNAcentral
GGUGAAAGUGUUUGGAGACGGGAACCUGCGUGUAGCAGUCGCUGGUCAGCGGUGGACCUUCAGCCCCUCCUGCCUGGUGGCCUACCGGCCCGAGGAGGAUGCCAACCUGGACGUGGCUGAGCGCGCCCGGGAGAACAAAAGUGCGGCACAGCUCAGGCGGCCAGUGGGCGGUGGGGCUGCCCCUGGCCACCGCUCACCUCAGUCCUGCCCCCAGGCUCACUGAGCGUGGCCCUGGACAAGCUUCGGGCCCAGAAGAGUGACCCAGAGCACCUGGGAAGGCUGGUGGUGGAGGUGGCGCUGGGUAACGCAGCCCGGGCUCUGGACCUGCUGCGGAGGCGCCCAGAGCAGGUGGACACCAAGAACCAAGGCAGGACCGCUCUGCAAGUGGCUGCCUAUCUGGGCCAGGUGGAGUUGGUACGGCUGCUGCUACAAGCCAGGGCGGGUGUGGACCUGCCGGACGACGAGGGCAACACGGCGCUGCACUACGCGGCCCUGGGGUGAGGCCUGGGAGGGGCCCGGUGGGGCUGAGCCUGUGCGUCCUGGGGUGAGGCCUGGGAGGGGCCCGGCGCCCUCCCUCUCCCACUUCUUCUCCCAUCAGGAACCAGCCGGAGGCCGCCAGGGUGCUCCUGAAUGCUGGGUGCCGGGCGGAUGCUCUCAACAGCACUCAGAGCACAGCGCUGCACGUGGCCGUGCAGAGGGGCUUCCUGGAGGUGGUGCGCGCUCUGUGUGAGCGCGGCUGUGACGUCAACCUGCCCG